UAUAAAAAAAUAACCUAUAUGGGAAAAGAAUCUGUAAAGGAAUAGAUAUAAUUGAUUUAGCAUAUAAAAAAUAACCUAUAUGGGAAAAGAAUCUGUAAAGAAAUAGAUAUAAUUGACUGACUUUGCGGUAUGCCUGAAAUUAACACAACUUCAUAAGUCAUCUAUACUCCACUAUUUUUUUUAAAGGUAUCAUGGUAUGUACCGUACAAACCUAGAAGCUUAUGGUCAUUUAGUGUAAAUAAAAAGAGCCUAGUACAUUUCAAAAGCCUCUAGGUUCAUCUCUAUUAAAAUACAGGGAAAUGUUUUACAUUAUUAAUAAUACUAAGAUUCUAGUAGAGAUAACUGUUUAUUUUCUUGAAGGGCAGAGGUCCCUGCUAUACAGUGUAGACUAUUUAGCAGCAUCCCUGGACUCAGGAUCAUUUAAUAUCUUAAACAAAAAGUUGAAUGGUAUUACUUUGUUCAUUCCUUCAAUUUAAAAUUUAUGAACUCUCAUCCUUCUGCCAUUAUCUGUAAUGCAUCUAUCUAGUAUAUAUACUUUCACUAAGAGUGAUAAGAAUUGUGGUUAAAAAAAAUAGUGUAACACUUGUUCUAUGAAAGAGUAUUGUUCUCUACUCAUAAUUAGAAAGCUAAAAUGCAAGUUACAAUUUUUAGAGCUGAUAGUGAACUUUUUAAUUUCAUCCCCACUCCCCCACAUUGAAUACAUCAUCUCUCUAUUAGUUAGCCUGGCAACAAGGCAAUGUUUGUCUAUGAUGGUUCAAUACUGAGCAAAGUCUUAAAUCCACAUAGCGUUGUCAAUCCCAUUACAGAAACAUUUAUCAGAAAUGUAUGUGGGUGGAUGAGCUGCUCAAGGCACUUGAAAAACACAGGCAAAUAGUAUAUUAAGGAAGCCCUGGAUCCUUACUCGGUAGCCAGUUCCAGGAACUUGGCCAGAAUCUGGGAUCUCUCACCCCAUUCUCCUGCAACACCUCCUAUGCAGCAUCUCCCUCCGGCAGCCUUACAACCUUUCACUGAUAUGAUCACUGAUACAAUCUGGUCUAUCAAGACUGGAAACAUUUCCUAAAAGAUGAAGCUAUCCAGGGCAAUCUACCCAAUACUCUGUGAUGGCCUAUAUGGGAAAAGAAUCUGAAAAAGAAUGGACAUCUCCAUAUCCAUAACUGAUUCAUUUCGUGUACAGUUGAAGCUAACACAACACUGACCUUGAGCACAAAGGAGCUCACAGUGAAGCAGAAGAAUUGCACAGAAAGGAGAGAAGAUGCUGGUGGUGGGUACAUGGGAGCCUUAGUGGAGCCUGCCUGCCAGAAGGCCUGAUGGGAGACUGAGGCUGGAGUUGGCUGCAGUGUCUGACACUAUUUUUGAUUACAAAGUUAUUAAACAUAACUUUCUGUCAUCAAGACACAAGUCUGGUCAAGGGAGAAAAAUAAACAAAGCACACUUCACCUCAGAGCUAUAACAGUCAUUAAGUAAUAGCCCACUGAUUGAUGUGGAGAAAUAACCUAUGUAUCUACUUCUAGACCUUUAUCUCUACCUAGAAAAAUCAAUGAUGAUAGAAAAUAAAUUGAUACUGAAAUAUUAGUAUAUUUAAUAUUGUUAUUAAACAAUUAAAAUGUUAUAAAUGUAUUUUUAAAAUCAAAAGGUAAACUCUCAAUAUAAACUUAAAGUGGACAUAUCCAUCCCUAGUUUUUAAAAAUAUUAACAGUUUUGAAAUAUAAGUACAUUAGUGCUAAAUAUUAAAGUGAUAUCUUUUUACACAUAGCCUCUGAAGGGCAGCAAAUUUGUUUUUGUUUCUCCAGUGCUUGCACAGUGCCUGAUAUACUAUAGGUCAGCCUUUCAAUUUGUUGAAAGGCUGUGAAAUCGCUGGAACCAAGUAAAUUAUUAUUGCCCAAUAAUAUUAUUUAUUAAUAAAAAUACUGUCCAAUAUUUUGUAUAUGUGAUACAUUUCCAGGGUAUUGUACAGUCCCCUUAAUUGAGUGCUGAAAGACAAAGAAUGCAGUGCUUUAGAUACAAGAGAUGUUAUAUCUACUCAUAUAAUGAUAUUAAAAAAGCACAACACUAGCCUUUUAAUUUUAUAACUCCUUGUUUUCAUUUCACAGCUAUGUGAAAUAGAGCACAGUAACAUUGCAAUUUUGGAAAAAUGACCUAGACAGCAAGACAAAUUUCCCAGAAGGGAGAUAUUUGGCGUCAGUGAAAGGGAAUUGUUUAACAAACCAGUCAGAAUAACUGCAACUAAACAUCCAUUAUAUGAUGUUAGACUAGCCUAGGGAAUCAAUUGAUAUUUUAAUAGAGUUUGUUGAUGAAAAUUUCCUUCUUUAGGAAAAUAAAAACAUUUGAUACUUCUUAUAUACCUAGAAAAAUUGAUAAUAGUAUAUUGGGGUAUAUUGGUGUUUUUUUAAAUUAUGAUUAAUGCAAUGUGUCUAGAUUUAUUUUUUCCAAGAUUUUUCCAUCUGUUGGUGCCAUCAACUCUUGAACAAAUUGGGGGAUUGUUGUAUUAUCUUGUUUCAUGAACAAUACGGCAAAGAUAACAUUUAACUCCUUUCAUUUCUCUGUGCUAAGACUCUUCACUGUAAACUUUUUACUUUCACGGAAAAUCAAGAGGAAAUUUUAUACCACUUCAAUCACACGUUUCUUUUUUUCCCCCUUUCUUCAAGCUUAAAAUGUGCACCAAAUACAAUAUGCUCAUAUGUAAAAUUCUAAACAAAUAUUUAAUGAAGAAUUACACGUGCAAGUCAUCAUAUCAGAAGAAAUAAAUGACAAUGUGAUAUAAAACACAGUCCUUUUCCUACUCAUUGUUUACAUUUGGUCAACCAGACCUAUAAAAAUAAUUCAAACAAUAAAUGCUAAUAUUGCUCCCUAUCCCCAGAAACUAAUCUCCAUGUUCUGAUGCCAAUGCCAGUGAGUGUGAAUCACUAUCAUCAGGUCCCUAAGAAGAAAAAUGGGUACCACAAAGACUCCUUCCUCUCCUUAAUCCUAAAUAUAUAAAUGCCCUAGAUUCUGCCAUGUUAAUUUAUCUUUAACUGACUCCUCCUUCUUCCUUCAUCUUUCACAUUGGCAGAAACGGUUUGUUGCCCCAAAAUUAAACCCUGAUCCCAUUAUAACCCACCAAAAACUUUGCACUUGCCUAGAGAAUAAAUUAUCUUGCUUCUUUCUCAUGGCACCUGCUAGUACCUAGUAUCUUUCAGCCUCAUCAAACUGCUAGAGGUUCUGCAUAUUCUGCUGUUUUGAUCACUGUGCUCUGAUAGAUCAAACAUCUGUAUGACAUUAAUCCUUGCACUCAGUCAUUUUUUUUCCAGCAAAUAUUUACUGAAGACCUAGUAGCUGCUCUAGAUUCAGAUCUGGGAUAAAAAAAAAAAAAAUCACCUAAAUAUGUAAAUCUUAAGGAGAUCAGAGUGAAGCCAAGAGUAAAAUUAAUCAGACAGUCAUGCUCUUUUCAUGACCUCAACUCCUGCCCACUCCUAGCUCCUCACUUUGCUGCAGCCUUCUAACCUCUUUGUUGACCAAACAGCUCAAGCUGGCUCUCACUUCAGGGUCUUGACACAUUGUUCCUUUUGCUUGAAAUACUCUUCUUCUGGGGAGUGCGUUGUCUAGCUCCCUUAUCUUAUUUGGGUCUCUGUUCAAAUAUCUUCUAAUAAUAUUUUCCAGGGUAAAAAGUGAUCUGUUCCUUUGUCAUUUUUUUUUCCUUCAAAAUAUUUAUCGCUAUAGAUAUUAUAUGUAUAACUGUUGAUUUUUCAAUGCAGAUUCUAUUAAGGAUGGAUCUCUUCUAUUAGUCUGCUGCUGUUUCCUCAAACCUUAAAAUAGCGUCUUGUGUAGUGGUUAUAUAUUUGGUAUAAAUUCAUUAUAUAUAUAUUUAAUUAUACAUUGAAUGUUACACUACGAUGAUAGGGUGAGAUGAUAUAUAAAUUAACAAUGGAAGAUUAGUACAGUUCUCUAAGAGAUGGGAAUUUCCUUUUGCAUAUUAAUGAGGAAUAGGGUAUUUAGAUAGACUAUCUAUCUCUUUUUACUGCAAAAAGGCCACUUGUAGUUCAUUUAGGUAAAAGAAUGACAUAGAAAAUAUAUUAAAAAAAUCCAUCACAAAACUGUUCAAGACAUACUUUGUUAUUCAAUAUUUAGUGCAAAUGCUUUUCCGAAUAUAAAAAUAAAGUAAAAUUGUGCACGAUGUGGAAAUUUCUGUCAUUUAUAGUCAGUUAUUGAGGAAACAUUUCUUAUUUUCCAAAUUUCCACUGUUAACUCCUUGACUAAAAAAUAGAAAAGAGAAAUGAAAAUAGGUUAUCUUCUUUCCCACAUAAAAGCAUAAAACCAGAAAAUAAUCUGUGAGGGACUGGCUAUUCCUUGACAUUUCAUGAAUUAAACACACAAGUCUUGAGAGAUUUUAACUACUUAUGUGUUGAAGAAAGAUGCAUUAUUUUUUUUCUUUGGGAAGAGAUGAAGAAGAUGAUAAUGGAUCAAAAGUUAACCUAAUAAUCUUAAUUUGGGACAAAAAUGGCAAAAUAAAUAUGAAGACAAGCAGAAAAUUGAGAGAACACUGUAAGCCAAUUAUAAUGGAAAAAAUAAAAAUCAUAAAAAAUUAAAAAUAUUUUUAAAAAGAAGGAUGGUGGAAAUGAAAAAGAUGGGAAAAAAUGAAAAACAAGUAGGGGCACAAAGCAGGAGAAAUGCUGAGUUCUGAGUCUGAUGUGAGGCAUUGAUGGAGACUAAAGCCUCAUUCAGCAGAUUAGGAGAUAGGCAGCAAGAGUUAUCUUCUUAUAGCCAUAAAUGAUUAUUUUGCCCCUAGUUGGCAAAAUGAAAUAUCAACAAAAUAAAAAUUCUAACAACUAUCCCCAUACAUAGAACUUUGUACAGGGUUGUUCACUUUUUAGUUAGUAUACGCCAUGACAUCUUCCAAGUUAACAUCAGUCUUGGUGAUUAUUUAAUUUUACAUGAGUUUUAUACAAUAUUCAGAGAUUCUAAAUCAGUUAGAAAGCAUCAAUCAUUCUUACCUAAACUAAAUUCAUAUGGAAAAUCAAGAUAAAGUAUUUUCUUAAAGGAACAUGACUUAAUCUGUAUCAUUAGUUCUUGUUAUUAGAACAUUUCUAAUAACUUCUCGUAUAACUGUCAUUCUAUUUUCCUAGUCUCACCUAGAAUUGGGAACAUGCAUUUCAUGAGACAAUACUUGCUUUUUUGGUUGCUGUUAUACAACAUGUCUCAAAUCACAGAACUACUUGCAAAUGGAUUUAAUGAGCAUAAAAAUGUUCCCACCAGCCAAAACCCAAAAUGUCAUCAUUUCCAUAUUCUCCCUCCUAUUAGGAUUAUAGUCACAACAGAAAAAUUGAAAAAGGCAGCAAACUUCCUGCUAUUUAUGUGACAGUGUAAUUGACAAUUACCUUGAUGGAGUUAAUUUAUGAUGUAAUGCUCAAUGAUAUUUAAUAUACCCCAGCAAAAGCUCAGAAUAAAAUAUAUUCUACAAUCCACAUGGCAUCUUAUACAGUCAAACUAAUGGAGCCAACAUGACUAUAUAACAUCAUGAUCAUCUAUCAUUAUUGUCCUUAUGACUCUGGUCAAUCAAACUUACCAGGUAUGAAAAAACAAACUCUAAAGCUAUAAUGAAGCUUCAGAUUUCACUUUGUUCACACAUAUUCCAAGAAAAGCAUAUAACAAUGAUACCACAUUUUAAAAUAAAAGCAAUAAUAUGACUGAGGCAACAAAACAAAUCUUUAAGAUGUGUUUCACAAUUUGUCAAAAUGAUGCCCUGAAAAAUUGAAAACCAUGGCACACUCCCCAAGCUGCAAUCAUAAUCACAUAGCAUUAAUAUUUGUUCUCUGGUCUUCUGCCUUUCUGUAGUAUCUUCAUUUUCACCUCUCAAGCUAAAAAUCACAUGCCCCUCCUCAGUGCUUCUCUUCAAAACCUCCAUCACAUUCACUACAUGCUGCCUUGAGUGGUAUUCACUGGGGUAUGUUUACAAUCCUUUACUGUCCGAUUAGUUUCUCACACUAGACUGUAAAGUCCUUCAGGGCCAGGACCUGGUUUAAUUUGAAAUACUUGUGGAGGUAAUAUUUGUUGUGUACCAAAGGCUGAAUCCCUAUACAUAAUUUCUUGAUAGCAGAGUCCUGAUUAUAUUCUAGAUGCACUUCUAUAUACUAUGUAGUCCAGAAAGGGGUAAUAUUUUUUCCCGGUCCAGAGAGUGUCUUAUCACUAUAUUCUCUUCUCUUUCCAGUAAUUGGUUUAGGCAGAAUUGUUAGGCAUAACACUGCCUGAUGAGGAGCCAAGGGAAGCCUUUUAGGUGAUUCCUGGAAUAGGAUUUCUAAGCCUUAAAAAAAAAAAAAUCAAGAAGGAGUUAACCAAUCUCCUUCUUUAGAGACUUAGGAGUCUGUAUGUGAUAUCUAUAACUGGAAAUGAUUUAGCGACCAUAAAGGGAAUUUGCCUGAGACACCAAGCAUAGGAAAAAAACAAAACAAAACAAACAAACAAACAAAACACCGCAGCUUCUUGCUUAAAUCAUUUAGCUGCUGAGCCACCAUCCCUGGAAUCAUGUGUCUUCCUGGUAUGAAAGUUAAUUGAUUAAAAAAAAAAAAAAACAAAUUUGUGGUCAAUGUCUUCUAUGUAAUAUAGAUUUUUCCACUUUACCAAGUCCUCAAAUAUGUUAAAUAUCAAACUCUGCUUUCAAGGCAGAAUGUGAGUAUGAGACUAGAAAAACUUACCAAGAAAAUGAUCUUUUGCAUCUUAGAACUACUUUACAGGAUUUCUGAAAUAGAACCUGCAAUAUGAACUUCUAAUAAUCAAAGUUCUAGCAAGUGUAAUACAGUAAAAAGAUGAUGGGUUGAAUCCUCAAGGCAUUUCUCUUUUGUCUUACUAACAAUUCAUUUCUACACUGGGAAAGGGAAAAAAGCAAACUAUUCAAUUUCUAGCACUUCAAAUUUGUAGUACUGAAUGUAAGCUACAAAUUAAAUAUGAAAAGCAAAUCUCAGUGUUUCUAUCUUGAUUUGUAUAUUAAAGGAUAAAACAUCAAAAGUUGUUUACAAAGCUUCCUUUCUGACAUUCAACUUUAAUGAAUAUUCUCUUGACUCUAAAUAGUAUGGUUCAUGCUUUCAAAUAAAGAGCCCAGAGUCAGGGAGAACUUCAGAUGCUGGAGGAUGUUACACCAAACUCUUCACAAAGGCGGCAUUGUACACUGCUCCUAUCAGGGUCUUUUUAAGUCAAAUGCCAUCCUCUUUCUAUAUUAAUACCAAGUAAUAAGAAAGAGCCCAUACAUGAUAGAUAGUAUUGUAAUCUUGUUUACAAUCAGUGACCUAAGUAGAGGAUUGAAAAAAUAUAGUGUAAGAAACAGGUUUGUGAUUUCUAUGCAAAUCUAUUGUCUAUGAGUUUAUGAAUCAAAUCAUUAUUUUUGUUAGGUUACCCAUGAGUUCCCUCAGAAGUUUU
Sus scrofa (pig) is the source of this 7383-nucleotide non-coding RNA. The record is from RefSeq and is a predicted model, not a curated record. Lineage: Eukaryota; Metazoa; Chordata; Mammalia; Artiodactyla; Suidae.